This 432-nucleotide ribosomal RNA is filed under the name uncultured bacterium. Its description in RNAcentral is "partial 16S ribosomal RNA". It matches the Rfam family "Bacterial small subunit ribosomal RNA", at positions 338 to 795 of the family's 1533-position model. The record is from RNAcentral.
CCUACGGGAGGCAGCAGUGGGGAAUCUUGCGCAAUGGCCGAAAGGCUGACGCAGCGACGCCGCGUGUGGGAUGAAGCAUUUCGGUGUGUAAACCACUGUUGCCCGGGACGCGGUACCGGGUGAGGAAGCACCGGCUAACUCCGUGCCAGCAGCCGCGGUAAUACGGAGGGUGCGAGCGUUGUCCGGAAUCACUGGGCGUAAAGGGCGCGUAGGCGGCGCGGGCAGUCAACGGUGAAAGCUUGGGGCUCAACCCCGAGUCGGCCGUCGAUACUCCCGUGCUUGAGCACUGUAGAGGCAGGUGGAAUUCCGGGUGUAGCGGUGGAAUGCGUAGAGAUCCGGAAGAACACCGGUGGCGAAGGCGGCCUGCUGGGCAGUGCUGACGCUGAGGCGCGACAGCGUGGGGAGCAAACAGGAUUAGAUACCCUUGUAGUC